This 213-nucleotide unclassified non-coding RNA is filed under the name plant metagenome. RNAcentral describes it as "partial contains small subunit ribosomal RNA, internal transcribed spacer 1, and 5.8S ribosomal RNA". The record is from RNAcentral.
UUUCCGUAGGUGAACCUGCGGAAGGAUCAUUAAAAAUGAAGCCGGGAAACCGGUCCUUCUCACCCUUGAUUAUCUCAAAUUGUUGCUUUGGUGGGCCGCGCAAGCACCGGCUUCGGCUGGAUUGUGCCCGCCAGAGGACCACAACGCUGUAUUAUAUGUCGUCUGAGUACUAUAAAAUAGUUAAAACUUUCAACAACGGAUCUCUUGGUUCUG